GGGAGACGGCCUCGCUCCUGCAGGGAGAGAUGGUGAGGAGAUGGCCUUGCUCCCGCAGGGAGAGAUAGUGGGAGAGACAGCCUCACUCCCGCAGGGAGAGAUGGUGGGAGAGACAGCCUCGCUCUUCCAGGGAGAGAUGGUGGGGAGACGGCCUCACUCCUGUAGGGAGAGAUGGUGGGAGAGACAGCCUCACUCCUGCAGAGAGAGAUGGUGGGAGAGAGGUCCUCGCUCCUGCAGGGAGAGAUGGUGGGAGAGAGGUCCUCGCUCCUGCAGGGAGAGAUGGUGGGGGAGACAGCCUCGCUCUUGCAGGGAGAGAUGGUGGGGAGAGACGGCCUCACUCCUGCAGGGAGAGAUGGUGGGAGAGAGGUCCUCACUCCUGCAGGGAGAGAUGGUGGGGAGACGGCCUCACUCCUGCAGGGAGAGAUGGUGGGGGAGACGGCCUCGCUCAGGGGCUGAGGACGUGAGAGCUCCAAGGUGGAGAAUCGGAGCUGGGGUGAGAAGGAAGUCCAUGGCAGCCCUGUGGCGCCCCUGUGGGGUUCGCUGAGAGCACACAGUGGCCCCUCUCAGUAGAUUUUCUGCUCCCAUGGGUGCCUCUGUCCACCACCCCACCCUGGUUUCAGAUAAAUGGCUGCUCUGAGAAAAGGGAGACGCAGGUUUCUCCUGGGUGGAUUCUAGUUCAGAUAGAAUUGCUGCCUGGGUUCCCUUAACGCUGCGUGUGCGGUGACUGACCUGGGGCUAAAAACACGUUCUGGGGUCCUGCCUGUGCUGGGGCCAGGUAAGCGAUGCUGGCAGCCAUCCCGCUGCCCCGCUUAGAGCCCUUGCUGCUCCGCGCCUGAGAGAAUUCCCACCAGUGCACCUGGGAAAGCAGUGGGUGGUGGCCCAAGUGCUUGGGUCCCUCCCACCCAUGUGGGAGACCCAGAUGCAGUCCUGGGCUCCAGGCUUUGGUUUGGACCUACCCUGACCAUUGCAGCCACUUGGGGAGUGAACCAGCAGAUAGAAAAUCUCCUUUGACUUCUCUCUCUCUCUCUCACUCUGCCUUUCAGAUAAAUAAAAUUAGUCUUUAUAAAACCCA
Molecule: long non-coding RNA, 1072 nt
Filed under: Oryctolagus cuniculus (rabbit)
Lineage: Eukaryota; Metazoa; Chordata; Mammalia; Lagomorpha; Leporidae
Description: lncRNA (ENSOCUG00000034145.1)
Source: RNAcentral